Molecule: long non-coding RNA, 7057 nt
Organism: Gasterosteus aculeatus aculeatus (three-spined stickleback)
Lineage: Eukaryota; Metazoa; Chordata; Actinopteri; Perciformes; Gasterosteidae
Source: Ensembl
CCUCACAGCAGCCUUACAUCUACGAAGAUGAGAAGGUCCACAUGACACACAAUGUUCGGUUUGACAACCGCAAUGCUACUCCUGAGCAAGGUCUUAGACGUCAAAACGACAAAAGUCAUCCCGCUCUUAAAUCCUACCCCACAUCUUCAAACAACAAUAAUGACAACUCCAACAUUAGCGACUUUGUAAGAUACUUUGCUCGUCGUGAGCUUGUGGCAACAGGCCUGCUUCAAUUCAACGACAGACCUCAGAACUACAGAGCCUGGAAACGUUCUUUCCAGAACGCAACCAGAGGGUUGGACCUGACACCAAGUGAGGAAAUGGAUCUCCUGUUUAAAUGGCUCGGCAAAGAGUCAUCAGAACAUGUCGAGCACAUAAGAGCAAUACACAUCAACCAUCCAGCGGCAGGCUUGGCCAUGAUAUGGGACAGACUAGAACAAUCUUAUGGUUCUGCGGAAGUAAUAGAAGAUGCUCUGUUCAAACGUAUUGACGCCUUCCCAAAAUUAACAAAUCGAGAUUAUUCCAAACUAACAAAGUUGAGUGAUCUUUUAAAGGAACUAGAGUCAGCCAAAGAUGAGGGAGACCUGCCCGGUCUCUCUUUCCUCGAUACAGCAAGAGGCGUUAACCCUAUUGUACAGAAGCUCCCCUUUGGUCUGCAGGAAAAGUGGGCGUCAGUUGGGGCAUCCUACAAGCAGCAAUAUCACGUGUCAUAUCCUCCCUUUGCCUGCUUUGUAAACUUUGUUAGCCAUGAAGCUAGUGUCAAAAAUGACCCAAGUUUCAACUUUUUCUCUUACUCAGACAUGUCUCUUAGGACAGAAAAAACAACUUGGAAGCCAAACAGACAACGUGAAGUCUCUGUUCACAAAACAGAGAUAUUUCCAAAAGAUACCUCUGGUCCUAGGGAACCCCCAACACAAUUCGCUGACUGUGAACAACUGUGUCCAAUCCACAAAAAACCUCACCCCAUACGCAAAUGCCGUGCAUUCAGAGAAAAGCCCAUUGCAGACCGGAAGACAUUCUUAAAAGAGAAUAACAUCUGUUUCAAAUGCUGCGCUUCAUCAUCACAUAUUGCAAGGAACUGCACAUUUAAUGUUCGAUGUUAUGAAUGUAAAAGUGAAAAACACCACACAGCGCUUCACCCUGGACCUGCACCUUGGGUUGAAGACACAAACUCGGUUCCAGAGCAUGGCGGGGAGGAGGAUAGCUUUCCACAACCCCGUGUCGCCACCAAAUGUACAGAUGUCUGUGGCGGAGACAUGACGGGCCGAUCCUGUUCUAAAGUAUCCCUCGUGAAAGUGUAUCCAACCGGCCACGCUGACAAAGCAGUGAAAAUGUACGUGAUCCUGGACGAACAGAGCAACAGAUCACUAGUUCGUUCACAGUUCUUCGAAAUCUUCAAUGACCAAAGUCCAAGUGCUCCUUACUCAUUGAAAACAUGUGCUGGAGUAAAGAAAGCGACAGGAAGAAGGGCCAGUGGCUACAUUGUGGAAUCUUUGGAUAAGACCGUCAGCAUUCCACUACCCAGCCUCAUAGAAUGUGAUGACAUUCCAAAUAACAGAGAUGAGAUUCCAACUCCAAAUGCAGCCUUUCAUCACACACACUUAAAGUCAGUUGCACACCUCAUCCCAGAGAUCGACCCACAGGCCCAAAUUAUGCUUCUCUUAGGUCGGGAUAUUCUCAGGGUUCAUAAGGUCCGCAAACAGGUCAAUGGCUCACACAACCUGCCCUAUGCUCAAAAGUUAGAUCUGGGAUGGGUCAUCGUGGGCAAUGUGUGUUUAGGUCGCGUUCAUAAGCCACCAACAGUCAGCGCCUUCUACACUAACACCACAGAACGGGGACGCCCCACUCUCUUUGACCCAUGUCCUAACGUGUUCCGGGUAAAGGAAAGUUACAGUGACACCCAGGCCACAAACCACCUCCAACCACAUUUUGUGGAGAUACCAAACUGUGAUGUUGACAGCCUAGGACAUAACAUAUUCAAGCAGGCCAAAGACGACAACAACAUUGCUCCAUCUAUCCAGGACAUCUCCUUUAUGGAAAUAAUGAAAGAUGGACUAACAAAAGAUGCAAACAACAGUUGGGUAGCUCCAUUACCCUUUAAAUGCCCACGUCAAAGGCUCCCCAACAACAGGCCACAGGCAGUGAACCGUCUCAAGUUGCUAAGGCGCCAGUUUGAAAAGAGGCCUGAAAUGAGAGACCACUUUCUCAUUUUCAUGGACAAGAUGUUCAAGAAUGGUCACGCUGAGCUGGCCCCUCCUCCCAGUGUGGGUGGAGAACAGUGGUACCUGCCAAUAUUUGGGGUGUACCAUCCAAGAAAACCAAACCAAAUCCGAGUAGUCUUCGAUUCCAGCGCCCAGUACAACGGUGUGUCACUCAACGACGUGCUGUUGACUGGGCCUGAUCUGAACAACACACUGCUCGGUGUACUGUUGCGCUUUAGAAAGGAAGCAAUCGCUUUUACAACGGACAUAGAGCAGAUGUUCUAUUGUUUUUCAGUGAGGGAAGACGAUAGGAACUUCCUACGUUUUCUAUGGUUCCAAGAUAACGACCCCUCCAAAGACAUUGUGGAGUAUCGAAUGACGGUCCACGUCUUUGGAAAUAGUCCUUCACCGGCAGUAGCGAUUCAUGGAUUGCACCAGUCUGUUCAGGUCAGUGAACUCCACAUUGACGCUGACGUCCAACGUUUUGUGAUGCGCGACUUCUAUGUAGACGAUGGGUUAAAGUCCCUACCCACAGUCGAAGCUGCAGUCAGCUUGCUGAAAAAAACACAGGAUAUUCUCUCCAAAUCCAACCUAAGACUACACAAGAUCGCAGCAAACAACAAGGAGGUCAUGGAGGCCUUUCCGGCUGAAGAUCGUGCAAAAGACCUUAAAGACCUUGACCUCAGUGCAGAUGCGCUGCCGAUGCAGCGUAGUCUAGGUAUCAAUUGGGACCUCGAGACCGACUGCUUCCAAUUCAGCGUCUCCGAUGAGAAGAGACCAUACACUCGACGGGGUGUCUUGUCAACAAUCAACAGCCUCUACGAUCCUCUAGGGUUUGUAGCGCCAGUCACAAUACAAGGCAAGGCUAUUCUGAGAGAGCUAACAACUGAGAAAGGUGACUGGGACUCGCCUUUGCCUCGAGAAAUGGAGGAAUCAUGGACAUCGUGGAGAACAUCCUUAACAGAACUGUCCCAGCUGUCUAUUCCCAGAGCCUACACUACAACUUCCCCCGCAACAGCUGUCAGAAGGGAAUUGUGCGUAUUUUCUGACGCAUCCACCAAAGCUAUUGCCGCUGUGGCAUACCUAAAAGUAACUGACUCUGCUGGAAAUAACCAUGUCGGAUUUGUAAUGGGCAAAGCCAAGCUGGCCCCCCGUCCUGAGCAAACAAUUCCGAGACUGGAACUUUGCGCAGCAGUGCUUGGAGUGGAGUUAGCAGACCUAAUCUCGACAGAAUUAGACCUUCAGCUCGAUGCUACAACCUUCCACUCAGACAGCAAGGUGGUCCUUGGCUACAUUUCUAAUGAAACUAGGCGCUUUUAUGUGUAUGUAAGUAACCGGGUAUUGCGUAUCCGAAGAUCCUCUCGCCCAGAUCAAUGGCGCUAUGUGUCAACAGAACAGAACCCCGCAGACCACGCUACACGUGCUGUCACUGCAGGCCGUUUGAAUGACACAAACUGGCUGAGCGGGCCCAAAUCUCUGUACACACCGGAGACCAGUACCUCAGAGAGCACCCAUGAACUUGUGGACCCGAGUGCAGACUCAGACAUUCGCCCUCUGGUAUCCACUAUGAGCACUACGACAACAUCCAACCAGCUCGGUUCUCAGCGAUUCGCAAGGUUCUCAUCCUGGAAGUCGCUAACUCGGGCCAUUAUUCGCCUCAUACACAUAGCUCGCCUUUUCAACAGCACCUUGAAGAACAGCCUUUGUAAAGGCUGGCAUCACUGCAAAACAGGAUUCAAUUUUGAGGAAUCUAAUCAAGCAUCGCACAUCAUCAUUCGAGCAGUACAGGAGGAAGCCUACAGUCAAGAGAUCAAAUGUGUCCAAAAACAUGAGCAGAUUCCUAAAAGUAGUCCUCUCAAAAAUCUGGAUCCUUUCAUUGAUGCACUCGGCCUUCUGAGAGUCGGAGGCCGCCUCCACAAUGCAAACCUUGUUCAGAGCGAGAAGACCCCAGUGAUCAUUCCUGGCAAGCAUCAGGUUGCAACCUUACUCAUCAAGCAUCACCACGAACAAAUCUAUCACCAAGGUCGUCUGUUUACGGAGGGGGCCGUCCGUACAGCUGGCUUUUGGAUAGUUGGUGGUAAAAGAAAGGUGAGCAACAUCAUCCACCAGUGUAUAACCUGCAGAAGGCUUAGAGCCCCACUUACAAUCCAGAAGAUGGCCAGUCUUCCAGCGGACCGUCUCUCAACAGAACCUCCCUUUACGAAUGUUGGGCUUGAUGUGUUCGGCCCUUGGAGUGUCUCUUCACGUAGAACAAGAGGAGGCCACUCACACAGUAAACGAUGGGCCGUAAUCUUCACGUGCAUGAGUGUACGAGCGGUUCAUAUUGAAGUCAUAGAAUCCCUUGACACAUCCAGCUUCGUCAACGCGCUAAGGCGCUUUCUUGCUGUGCGCGGCCCUGUCAAACACAUCCGCUCAGACCGUGGCACCAACUUUGUAGGCGCCUGCCGGGAGUUGAAAAUACCCUCAAACAUUGACAACACAACUGUGAAGACUUACCUGUUAGGUCAAGGUUGCUCGUGGACCUUUAACCCUCCGCACGCCUCCCAUUUUGGCGGUUCGUGGGAAAGAAUGAUUGGUCUUGCAAGGAGAAUCCUGGACGCCAUGUUCCUUCAGCUGAAGGACAAACUUACCCACGAGGUGCUGGUGACUUUCAUGGCAGAAGUUACAGCCAUUAUAAAUGGCAGACCUCUUGUUCCUGUGACAACCGACUCUGAGGAUCCAUUUAUACUCACUCCAGCUGCCCUUCUCACGCAAAAGGUGAAUGUCUUGACUGCCCCUACCGGAGAGUUUGGAGUUUCAGACCUCUACAAGCGCCAGUGGCGACAGGUCCAGCACCUGUCUAACACCUUCUGGGACAGAUGGCGAAAGCAAUAUCUCCCGACACUACAGGCACGUAAGAAGUGGCAUUCCGCUCAUCCAAACAUCAGCCCAGGAAGUGUUGUUAUCCUCAAGGAUAGUCAAGCACCAAGAAAUGAAUGGCCUCUUGGACUGGUAACACAGGCGUUCCCCAGCGAGGACGGGAAGGUACGAAAGGUCGAGAUUAAGGUCGCACGAACAGGAGUGACUAAACUCUUUCUUAGGCCUGUUUCUGAGAUAGUGCUUCUUUUCCCCCCAGAGCCCUAGUGGAGUGAACUGUCUAGGAUUUAUUGGGUGGCGUGUAUUCACGCCAAGCGGGGAGUGUUUUGUCACAAACGUUAAAUCAAUGCUAUGUUUUAUUUUGAAAACAGGAAAUGUGAUGUAAUUUGUCAGGUGACAGGAACCAGGAAGUCAAUGAAGAAUAUGGCUCAGAACUGCUGUUUGUAUUGGUAGCUUUUCAAUCCAGUUGAGUCUGCAUGCAUCCUAUACCUUUUUGAUAGCAUCGUUGGUACGUAUUGAUUUGUUUUAUUGUUCAUUAUCAUCUCAGGUGAUUAUUUUUGUGACAAUGUUUAGUUUGGAUAUUUUUGUGCACAUGGCCUAUUGAGUCAUUCGGGUUGGUAACUGCACUGCUAUGGUUGUCAUUAAAGUCCAUAUGACUUAAUAAAUAACAAAGUAAAUAAGCAUAAAUAUAUAAAGUAGCCGUCGAAGAAAAUGCACUUCAUUUGUAUUUAUUAUGUCUUUUGUGUGUUUUAGUUUUACUCUUUCUCAUGUCAAUAAACCUGUGGACAACGGACCAUUGUCUUCAGAGUCGUGAUGUCAGAAAAGAGUUCGUCUAACUGCCAAGGUGUAUCGGAGCGCAUAUACCGAGGGCGGCAUAAGCAGGGCUUCAUGCUUAGCUCAGCUGGCAGGAAGGGAUCAUAUUACUUUGUUACUAUAUUAACUUCUCUGCACUGGCUCCCUGUUAAAUCAAGAAUAGAUUUUAAGGUACUUCUCCUCACCUACAAGGCACUUGCUGGUGUGGCACCGUCUUAUCUUAAAGAGCUUGUAACACCUUAUUGCCCUACAAGGCAGCUGCGCUCCAUAGAUGCUGGGUUACUUGUUGUUCCUAUGGUUUUAAAAAGUAGGCUGGGGGCCAGAGCCUUCAGUUAUCAAGCUCCUCUUUUGUGGAACCAGGUUCCACUUUCAGUCCGGGGGGCAGAUUCGGUCAGCUCUUUUAAAGUAAAACUUAAAACUUUCCUCUUUGAUUCUGCCUAUAGUUAGGGCUGGCUCAGGUUAGCCCGGACCAGCCCUUAGUUAAGCUGCUAUAGGCUUAGACUGCCGGGGGACUUCUAAGGACACACCGAGCUCCUCUCUCACGCUCUCGUUCUACCAUAAUUCACGUUUUAUUAAUGCACAUGACUAAUUCAGCAUCUUUCUGGGAGUUUUUUGUGCUUUCUCCCCUAGCAGGUCUCCGUAGAUCGUGGUUCCUUCUGGACCCUGGUCCUGACACCUGCCGUGGCCCUGCUGACACCUGUUGCUGCCAUCAUCGCUUCUGUGGAUGGUGGUUCUAUCUGAUGAUGGUUGCCCGUGCAGUGGUCCUGCUGUGCGCCUGGCUUACUCACAAUUAUUAGAAUCAUUUCUGUCAUAUGAAUUGUUCAUUCUGUACACAUGGCAUCCAUUGUAGUCUGUCCAUCACGGGAGUGGGAUCCCUGCUCUGAUGACUUUUUCCCUCUUGGAAGGGUUUUUUCAUUUAUUGGGGAGUUUUUCCUGUGCUAAUGUGUGGGUUUCGGGACAGAGGAUGUCGUAUGUGUACAUACUGUAAAGCCCUCUGGGGUAAAUUUCUAAUUUGCGACUUUGGGCUAUACAAAAUAAAAUGAAUUGAAUUGAAUUGAACAUAUUGUUGCUGUAUUUAUAUCUUUCUGCGGAACGACACAUAGGAUGAAUGUUGUGGUUUUUCAUGCGGCAAGAGACAUAUGCAACUUUUAUUGUGAGCUACACAGUAUGUUAACGAGACUGUCCAC